This is a long non-coding RNA of Mastomys coucha (southern multimammate mouse), 425 nucleotides long. RefSeq lists it as uncharacterized. Lineage: Eukaryota; Metazoa; Chordata; Mammalia; Rodentia; Muridae. The record is from RefSeq and is a predicted model, not a curated record. The transcript has 2 exons.
CACUGGCAGAGCCUUUCAGAAGAUGGCUAUAAAAACCUGCAUAUGGAUUUCAUAGCAUUCACCCCGGAAGCAUCCCCAGUGCCCAUCAACCAUAGGAUGGAUAAAGAAGCUGUUGUACACACACGUUGUACAUACACUCAGUGGAGCGAAGAAAGGAGAAGGAACUGAUGCAUCCAGACACAUGGAGAAAUCUCUCAAGAUGUUUUGGGAAAGAAGCCAAUACAGAACACUGCAGCCUGAGUGUGAAUUUGUGAAACUCAAAAAGCAAGCAGCAGCAAUCAAUACUGUGAGAAGGAAGGAUGCUGGUUUCCAUGGUGGGGCAACAAGGAUGAGCUGGCUCGAGGCUGGUUUCUGGAGGGCUGCUCAUGUCAGUCACAGGACCUGAGUCUGAAUCACAAAAAUUCCCCUAUAUUAGAAAAUUCAAA